This 5007-nucleotide long non-coding RNA is filed under the name Paramuricea clavata. Lineage: Eukaryota; Metazoa; Cnidaria; Anthozoa; Malacalcyonacea; Plexauridae. The record is from RNAcentral.
ACCAGUUUACUAAAUUUUGUAGUUCUUCCACUCUUACACGCGGGAAAUACCUAUUACUCUUACAGCUAUUUUAAAAUGUUUAGGUUGCCAUGACAAUCUUAAACAGUGGUCGAUUUGGCAUGGCAGCAGUUGCCUCUGGUGGAAUAAGAAAAAUAAUCGGUACUGUAUGGUUUAAUGUUUAAUUUAAUUUACCAAUUAUAUACUGCAGCCCCAUUAGACUAACAUAGACGACAAGUAUACUAUAACAUACUAGAAAAUACAUGCAUGCAGAAACCCUCGCCUUGCUGACAAAACCAUUGCAUUUUCCGAACAUGAAGUAUCUAAAGUAGUUGUCAUGGUAACACGAUAAUUUUUUAAGAAUAUUUUUACAAAUGAAAAAUCGCCUAAAAAUAUCACUUUCAAUUACAAAAUUAUCAAUUUCCCAACAUAUAUAUGUUAGGUAUGUUAUUGUAAGUAAUAUAAGCUUCAAUUUAAGGUAAAAUUCAACCACAAACGCUUCGCAAAACGUUUUAAAGUGUUCUUUAUAAAACUAAACUGCCUUUAUUAAUUAAAUGGCUUUAUCGAUAAACUUUGAGUUUGCAAUAAAAUGAUUUCAGAUUCUCGCAUGCAAAUAACUUGGCUUUCUUUUUUAUUUAAAAAAAUCAAUAUAAUAAAAAAGGGAAUCAAUAAUCCAAUAUUAAAGAUACACUGAAAUUAUAUGCUGUCUUGUCAGUUUUAAUAGUUUUUCAUAUACGCAAAGGCCGUCGGGUUUUAAAGCAAUUAUAAAAUCAAUAUUUAAAACAAACUUACCUCCGUUAACGUCGGCUCCAUUCUUUUAGCCGAUUCUUUCGUUUUUUCUUUCUGAGAAAGCUUUUGAAAUUUACAAAAUCUUGCAAAAAUGCGAGCAACAAUGAAAUGUAUUUGCAAGAAAUUUAUCAAUCAUCAAAUCAAGAAAUGUUUGCUAUUUCGCUGUCGUCAUGCAGUCGUUAUAAUGCAAACUUUAAAUUGGACCAAUCAGUGUUCGCUAUUCAUGACAGUCCGCAACAUAUUUUGAGAUCAGUGAGGAUGACCACCCACCGAAACAUCGUUGGUGAGCCACGCCCGCGAUAUUUGAUGAACUUUAGACUUCGCUAAUGCUUUCGUUUCCCCGGGUGUAAAUAGCCGGGGGGAAUCAGUACCCUCGCAAGGCGCUUCGCGCCGUCGGCUCGGGUACAAGUGAAAAAUUACGUCAUUACUCUGCAUGCAGCACGAGAUUGGACCAUCUAGACUACGAACAGAGUUACACAUUAGACAUACGGUUUUGUACGAGCGAGGAUACGUUUAACCCAUUGAGUGGCAGCACUCUCCCCUGACGAGUAAAAUCGUCUGGUGUUAGACAGCGUAAAAUAAUAAAGUGGGGCGCAUUGCCACUUAAAGUGUUAACAGGGUGCAUGGGCAGGUUGUCUGAUUAACCCAUUGAGUGGCAGCACUCUCCCCCUGACGAGUAAAAUCGUCUGGUGUUAGACAGAGUAAAAUAGACAGAUUUAGAUCGGACGUGAAAAUGGCGUGGCAUAUCCAUACUUGUCCAUACCCAUACCACAGAAUACUACACAGAAGGCCAUCUCCAUUGUUUUUAGCGUAAGCGCUAUUCGUCAUGAUUCGUCACUCGGCAAGUACCGUAAACAGAAGCAGUCCCCCCCUGGAAAUACUAAAAAUGGCGAACGUCCAGGGGGGUGACUGCUUCUGUUUACGGUACUUGCUGAGUGACGAAUCAUGACGAAUAACGCUUACGCAAAAAACAAUGGAGAUGGACUUCUGUGUAGUAUUCUGUGUCCAUACGCACGCGUACUGGAUCUAAAUCUGUCUAAUAAUAAAGUAGAGCGCGUCUGGGCGCAUUAAUUGCCACUUAAAGGGUUAAACAAGGUCUUAAAGAUGUUGUAUAAUAUUCAUAAGUAAAUGAAUUGUUUGAAUCAUGCAUGCCGAGUAAAUUGAUGUGGAACGGAACUCUUAUGAAUCAAUAUAGUGUUUAAUAUAACAGACAGUCAUUUUCCGUAAAAAACGCCAAUAUGCCUUCUACUGAUUGCUCUGCACUGACAUCAUGAUAUAACAUUUUGUCACACUGUAAUUUGUUGCAAAACCAAAAGGCAACUCUUCACUAACCUGUUACACAUGCACAGGAAUGUAUUAUUUAUUGUUUGCAUUAUACUGUCGAAAUUACCAGUAUGAUUUGUCAAAUGAUACUCCUUUCAACUUCGUGAUAUUGUUGAGGUAUACACCUCGCUUUAACCAUGCAGCCAUGCAGGCUUUGUGGUUGAAACCACGCUUUAACCAUGCAGGCUAUAUGGUUGAAUGAACCAGAUUAUGUUUGGCGGAUUAUUAACAAGGAAUCCUUAGUUCAGUAAUAGCUCACCUAACAUAUAUCUGGCUCUCUCUCCUCCACAGAGGCUUUCAGUUGCUGCUUUGAGUGCUAUUAAAAUAUAUGCGCUAGACGGUAAUGUUAGAGAGUUAUAUAUUCACCUCCCUGACCUCCCUGUUAACAGAGGGGACUUUCGUCGACGCUGCAUGAAAAUAGUGCGGGCUCGUGAGCUUUUUCCCGCAAAUUUUGCUUUUCGAUGUUUGGUUUUUGAAAGCAUCUUUGCUUUUUUCGUUGGAAGUUAUAGACUAACUCUUCAACAAUCUAAUGACUGUUUUUAAAGCAAAGAAAUUGAAGGAAAACUUAUAUUUUCAUACGAAGAAGAUGAGUGGUGAUAUUUAUGUUGAACUGUUUUGAGCUCAUGCUUCGAAGAACAUGAUAUAAUCGGACCUUGUAUCUUAAAAGUGUACUUGGAACAGCCGAACAAAGUGGUAAAUUUUGUUACCCGGUGUGUUGGGCAUCAUAAUUCAAGGAAUAGUCCUCACCGGCGUUUAAACUGGUUAUGAAAUAUCCUGAACACUUCGUCGAGUUCUCUACCGCCUUGUGACCUGUAGUUUAAUGUGGCACGCGUUUUUGAAAGGGCUUUACUUGACUUUAAUCAACGUGUAAGGUAUAACUUAGGUAAGCCAACAUUUCUUUGUAAUGCAAGCUACAUUUUCAUAUCUUUAAUGUGUGAAUAUAUUUAAUUUUGUAAAAAAUUAAGUCCAAUAUGUUGUUGGAAAAAGUAUCGAGUGCUUCAUAAUGACGCUCAGAUCUUGUAUACAGAUAUUCGUAUUUUAUUCAAAAUCUACCCUUUAUCACCACUUUUUUUAUUCUUUUAUGUUAAAGUAUACAAUCAUAAUUCUUGACUUAAAAACACGAUGAUCCACUGGAGGAAAAUUGGCCAAAGGGGCGAUCUUUGCAGAGAAAUUGACCGUUCGGUGAAAUCAGUAGUUUUGAGACCCUAUUUGAAUUGUAGUAUUUCGUGACAAUAUGUUGGCCGAUUUCUAGUUUAUAUUGUAGAACGGGUUCCUAGUGAAUUAAAUUAAUUGUCUAUCUUCUAACGAGUAGUAAUAAGUGCGAUUCCUUUUUGUUAAUGGAUGUUGAAAUCAUUUUAGACUUUUCUUCAUAUACAACAAGUACACUACCGAGUACCGAGCACUGAAUCACUGUUUGCAAAGAAACUAGCCUAUAUCACCUACAUUAUUCCAGCUUAUUUUUAAAGUCAAAUAGUUUCUCCAUGGAUGAAAGUUGUUUUUAUGGAGUCAAAAAUAGGGCAAGUACGAAUUUAGAGAAGGUCAAUUUGCACUUGUACAUGUAUACCUCACUUCGAAAAAGAUAUACAUAUAAAACAGGUAUAUUUGUACGGCGAAAUUAAACAGCUGCAACAAAGUUUUUAUUUCUACUUUCACGUUCUUAUUCCAAAGCAAACACUUCUAAGUCAAAAGUGCCUACAAUUGUGAGCGUAGAAACACUAAAAAAAGCAAGAGAACAACUUCAUAACACGAGUAGUUUUGGCAAAUUUGGUGUUUGUUUUUAGAAUUCAGUCAAGCGAUCAACCCGCGCUCACGUGCACUCCACGCUUACGUUUCUCGCGUAUGCGUAGACGGAAGUCCCCUCUGUUCACCCUGUUAUAUAUAUGCGCUAGACGGUAAUGGGUAACAAGGGCGCUAGACGGUACUAUGUAACGAGGAAACCGCUAAAAUUCGGAGCGCGGACGCCAGGGGGGUUUCCUUGUUACAUAUUGCCGUCUUAGCGCAUAACUCUCUAACAUAACCGUCUAGCGCAUAUAUUUUAAUAGCACUCAAAGUAGCAACUCAAAGCCUCUGUGGAGGAGAGAGUAUCUGACUAAUUCGACAAUAUAGCUUGACUAAUUCAACCAUAUAGUCAGAACUAUGAUCAAUUUAACCAGGACUGUGGUUAAAUUAACUAUUUAACCAGGACCAUUAAGUUACCCCGAAUUAACAGUGUUAAUUUUAGAUUAACCAGCAAUUUUUAACCAGGGUGUUUAUAAUCAAAUGAAUUGCUGUAUUACAUUGAAUUUAUAUUCAGAUUAUAAUAAUAAAUAAUAAUAAAAAAGUCUUAAAGUUUAUUGGAUGCUAAAAGCACACGGUUUAGUUUACAUCGAAUUAUGAUUUCUAUAAUAGAUUAUCUAUAUUUAUAUUACAUUAUUUAAAUUAAUGAUUCUAAAAAUUGAAAGUGAAAUAAUUACAAUGCAAUCUAAUGUAUACAAUGUUGAGUUCUAAAACAACUAAUAGUGUCCAGUCGUGUACGACCAAAACUAGGGUUGUGCUGACAUGUCAGACCAGGUUUUCAGAAAUAGGCUACUAUUACAAUGAAUUCGGCUCUCCUGUGCCCUAGCUUCCGUUGACGUAAAUAAAUAUCAUGUUAAUUGUGGUGAAUCAUAAGGCUGUACAUAUGUGCCGUUGAACUUAUUGGGUAUCAUAUGCUCAGCACAAUCAAUAACAAAUUGGAUUUAAACGUGUUGUUACUGUAACCCUUUUUUCCUUCCCUUUAUUGGAAGUGUGGAGGGAUUAUAUUCUAAAACUCUGUGACGCUUGCUGAAAUUACCUUCUCUAUUUCAGAAUAUGCGUCAGAGUAUGCCACUCAGAGAGAACAAUUUCAGAGAAAGUUAUCAAGUUUCGGACAAAUACAGG